This 305-nucleotide ribosomal RNA is filed under the name uncultured bacterium. RNAcentral's name for it is "bacterial SSU rRNA". It matches the Rfam family "Bacterial small subunit ribosomal RNA", at positions 337 to 640 of the family's 1533-position model. The record is from RNAcentral.
GCCUACGGGGCGCAGCAGUGAGGAAUAUUGGUCAAUGGGCGGGAGCCUGAACCAGCCAAGUCGCGUGAGGGAUGACGGCCCUAUGGGUUGUAAACCUCUUUUGCCGGGGAGCAAAGUGCCGCACGUGUGCGGUUUGGAGAGUACCCGGAGAAAAAGCAUCGGCUAACUCCGUGCCAGCAGCCGCGGUAAUACGGAGGAUGCGAGCGUUAUCCGGAUUUAUUGGGUUUAAAGGGUGCGUAGGUGGACUGUCAAGUCAGCGGUAAAAUACGGGGGCUCAACCUCCGCCCGCCGUUGAAACUGACGGU